CUCAAUUCAUAUUUCAUGUUCAUUUGAAAAAGGGCGAAUAAAUUCUGAGUUUGUGUUUAGCCCAGGCCAAAAGUUCCAGACGUUGAAAUAUGAAAUUUGGGAGAGUCGAUGUGGUUAUUUGAACCUAUAAGGCACAAGGUUCCAAACCGUCAUUUUGAAAAGACGUAAAAACCACAGGUGCAAGUUUAAGAAUGUGCGCAAUUAUUAUAACAGGAACAUACAACAGAUAGAUUUUUUUUUUUUUCUGCAAUGAAGGUGCAGCCCCUGUAAAAUCUAUAAAAAUACAUUAUGUUCUGGAAGCCUCUGAAGGAAGAGGACGACGCCUCUUAAGCUUAGCCAUGAGCCUCUCAUGGUCUCCCAAAAUUCUUUCAUUGGAGACCUGCAGCAUAUCUAGCCUUCUCAGUGUAUCAACAGAGUACGAACUCACCAGUUUCAACAAGGCAUUAUUCUCUCCUUUAAGUUUCUCAACCUCCUGUUGAGACUCAUGAAGCAUUCUUUGGAGAGACGAAUUUUCAGUUGUUAAAAUCUGAACCUCGUUUGCUCUAGCACGCAAACGAUCAGCCAUGUUAGAAACAGAAGCAGCACUCUGAAUACUAAAAGCCAUUGAGUCAUCAAUAGCCUCUUCCUCUGAUCUCCCUGUUAACAGCAUUUCAUCCAUUGGAGUAAUGAAAUUCCUAGCUACUAUGACAGCAGUAGCAUCAUUCAUCAUCACAGAAUCAUUAACUGUGAGAUGACGAUUUUUGGAUACAAAGGAUGGAGGCCAAACUUGGGCGUCACUGGUUGUUGUGGGAGUAUCAUUUAAAUUGAAAUAAUCUGGGCAGGAAGAAGAGGAAGCCAUUUUUAAGAAAGUUUUCGAAGAAAGUCUUGAGAAAACUAAAGUUUCAGAAAAUGAAGGAAGUUAAAUUGCAACGCAGUUGCUCCAAUCAAGAUUUGCAAAUGCAAUAUCUAUAGGAGGAAAUAUGACUACAGUUUUUUUCAGGAUCCCAAUAUCUUUUCGGAUCCCCAUAUUCUCUUUUUCUUUCCCAGAUUCCAAAACUUCACGUGGCCUUCAUUAAUGAUUGUCGGCACUUUCGGCGUUUUCAAAGUAUUAUUUUCGUCAAAAGCCGAUAUUGCUUUACGGAUUUCACGGAGCUACUUUUUCAAAAGUAUCCCGAGAAUCUCGCAAUUUUCCUAUGGUUAAUUUGAAAUUCACCGGUUCUACCUAUUCAUUGUAUUUGUGUAUAAAUGUGUUACUAACGAAAUUUUCUUUGCAGAAGACAUCCAGUUUUCUCCAUACCUAGGGAUGCGAUAUCUACUUGUUUUUCUUAUCAGUGAGCACUUAAUAUGCCCGAGAAGCAAGACUAUCUCUGAUCAUCCAUUCAGGAAGCAAGACUAUCCCUGAUCACGUUUCCGCUACAUCAGGGAACUGUGAAGGCAACCUUAUGCUCUAAUCUCCGGAAGUUCUUCUAGACUAGAAGAAAUGAGAGCUGGUUGUUUGCUCCCACCAGCUUCCUUCCUUGAUUGCUGAGCUUGUUGUCUGCUCCCACCAGCUUCCUUCCCUGAUUGCUUACCUUCUCUUGCAAUCCAUAUCACAAUUUUUUGCAUUUUUUUUCUCUUUUUGUAACUCUGUGGGUUAUUUGUUUUUGACAGAGAAAAGAGUUGUGAUUUUGCUCUUGCAGGAUAUAACUAGAUCAUCAAGCGCUACAUUAUAUUUACUGGGCCGAUACGACCUUGAAUGAUACUUGAGAAAAGUUUCUCCCACCUAAGGAUGUAAGCAGUAUUUGUGUUAUUAUAUGCUUAUAUACUUAUUUGAUAUUUUAUCUUGAAAGGUAACCAAAUAGGGAGAUAAGUCUGUUCCAAAAGAAUGGCUUGUAUGUAUCCAUGAAUUAUUAAUGCAAAUUUUACAGAUUGUAAGUUGGAUACAUUGAUAAUACACUGCACAGAUUAAAGUCCCAUAAGAACAGAAUAUGGGUAUAGCAGUGAUCAAUAUGAUGCACGCCUGUUGCGUAGCGAAUGAUGUGGAUUGAAGUCCCAAAAGGACAAUCCUUUAACAUGUCAAUAUUGAUAUUGUACACGCCUAAUGCGUAGCAAAUUAUAUGGGUUAAAAUCCCAUAAUAUGGGUUAAAGUCCCAUAAAUUAAUUGACAUGUAUGUAUUAAUCUGUAGCAUGCCUGCAGCAUGACAGAUAUAUGGGUUCUACAUGUUUCAACUUCCUAAAUGGAGAUUAUCCACGCCCUACUGCUAAAUAACGCUCCAAUGGAUGUUAUAAUCCACAUUCUCACAUAAUAAAAGCCCCAUGAAGUGGCUUGAGUACCCAAAGGCAAAUAAAUGCUUAUAAUUGAUGCAUGCGCAUGCAAAUGAGAAUGGUGGGAUCAUGAAUUGAUGAAUGACAAUUUUUGAUCAUGAAUUGAUGAAUGACAAUUUUUGAUUUUGGAGUAGCUACUCAAAUCAUCAAUGGGUUGUGUUGAUUGGAACCACGUUCAAUUAUUAAAUGUCGACAAUAUCAUUGGCCAAAAUGGAACGAGGUAAUUCCAUUAUAAAUGAGAAUGAACGUGAAAGAACAAACCCACAAUACGAACCCCAAAAUUUGUUAAUACUGAAUUUAUACUUGGGUGUUUGGAAUAAAAGGGAAUAUACCUACUUUGUACGACACACUGUUUCUGGCAGAAAUAAGGAAUGUUGGGUUUUCUCCAUAUUUACAGAUUCAAUUGUGCCCCCCCUCCCCCCCUUAUUACACAAUUACGGAGACCAACAUAUUAUCUUUAAGGGUUAUUAAAUACACGGAGCAUAUCGCCAGAAGCGAUUUCCUAAAGAUGUAUAAAUAGCUGGGUUAAAGCUAUAUAAUGUGUCAUAAAGUUUAAUCCCUUUUAGACAAAAUCCGUUGAGAGGAUUGAUAUUGCAUAAAGCAAGUCCCUAAAGGACAUGUGCUUGAAGCACAAAGUUUGUACUCAAUAUUAAUAUGCAUAAAUUACCUCAGUGAGUACAUUGAUUAUAAUGUGAUUGCAACACAUUAAAGCUUCUGCAGAAUUCAUGAAAUAUUUGUCUCGAUCGAGCAUUAUACCAACGAGAUUCUUGCUUAUACUAAGAGAGUCUUAUCCGUUGGUCCUUAAAUGUUUUUCCAGAAGUAUAUUAGACCAGAUAGAGCUCAGCUCCACACUGUACUCUUUUUCCUUCAUCCAGGUUUUUAUCCCAUUGGAUUUUUCCUGGUAAGGUUUUAACGAGGCAGUGUCGCUCAAGGGUUUAGGGUAUACUAUGAAAAUUUUUAUGGUCGCUUACUGGACAAAAGCUAGUCCUAAAUUUUUCAGGGGGAGAUAUUCACAAAGGGGGAGCAUGGUUUUAAUAAAGACCUCCAUACACUGUACUCUUUUUCCUUCAUCCAGGUUUUUAUCCCACUGGGUUUUUCCUGGUAAGGUUUUAACGAGGCAGUGUCGCUCAAAAUUGACUCACAGAAGCAGUGUCAACUACGAUAGUCAAAAAGGUGAUCAACAACAUGACUUAAAGAUAUUUUGCCAAGCAUCAGGGGGAGCGUGCUAUCAAUACAGAUAUUCAAAACACUGUACUCUUUUUCCUUCGUCCAGGUUUUUAUCCCACUGGGUUUUUCCUGGCAAGAUUUUAACGAGGCAGUGUUGCACCCGUGUCAAUCUACACAGAAUUUUAUGUUCCACAUGGUUAUGUACUCUUUUUCCCUUCGACCAGUUUUUUUUUGUCCCACUGGGUUUUUACUGGCCAGGUUUUUAACGAGGCAUAUUCCGUAUCAUUUGUGGUCUCCAAGGGGGAGUGUUAUAAAUAAUAUGGUGGAGCCCACAUGUUGGAAGAUUUUUCCUACAAAAGGGUUCACCCCUCUUGUAAUUAUGAGAUAGAAAGAAUGAAUUCAGAUUGCAGAAGUUUCUCUCUCUCUCCUCAACUCUCUUUCUCUCCAUCAAUUCUUUGAUUUUAUAACAUGUCCGUCCUUCCUAUUUUACAAUAGGUACAAAAUUCGGAGGACUAAAUUUUGGAAUCUUAAGUCUGCUUCUCUCUCUGGCUAGGGAAAACAAAAGAACUCCAUAUUUAUUCUCUAAUUACUAUUUUAAAUUUUGUUAUUUAAUUUGAUUUUUUUAUUUAAGUUUUAUUUAAUUCUUUAUCAUCACCGUCAUUAUUAUAUGCCUUGUAGUAACAAUGUUGUAUAUUAAUAUGACCUUCAUCUUUCUGGAAAUCUCAGAUACAUGUUGUUGAUGGCUCAUCACAAGAGCCAGAAUUUGAGUUCGAUGCAGUCCAUUUGAGUUGGAACUGUUUAGUCCUGAAAUUGCUGAAAAGCCUUAUGUCGCUGCUUUCAAUAAAAUGGAACCUGACAUUUUACCGAUGGUUGGAGAUGGUGGUGGAGAUGGAGGUGGUGGAUUUGUCCCCCAUCUCGGAACGCGACCUCUCGUCCUAGCACGUGGAGGAGGCAUGAUUCUAUACGAAGGAAACAAUAGAACCUUUGAUACCAAGCUGAUAGGACCUGCUUCGAAUUCCCUUGAAAUCCGGGACGAAUUCCUUAGUAUUUCCGACAUCUUACUGAUGCCAGACCCACUUAAUUACUCACUCAUCAGUUAAACAAUGGUCUUUAUUAUACUGCUACUUAGGUACAAUCUUGUUUGAUUGUCCAUGAUAAUAAAACUUUGUGAUAAAUAAAAAAAUCAAAUAGAAACUAGAAUCUUUAUAUUUAUAUGAAUUCAUCACGUUUGCUAAUUGUAUAUUAAUAAACGAUUGUAGACUGGACUCCAACAGAUACACUACGUUAAUUAGCUAAAGUAGAACGCCAAAAGCCUUCCUUGACGUUGUGAGCUUGUGAAAAGCCAAUCUUCAGGGAAACAGCAGUUAUAUUAUGGAGGACGGACACUGAAGCAAGUAGUAUGAACGUGUAAGGUUCACAUUUCAACAUUUUAAAUAAGUUAGGUCCCGAAACGCUAAAAGAGGUACCGAGUUUGAAUCUCCUCUAUCCCAUAAAUAAAAAAAUAAAAAAAUGAGUUUGAUGCUGAAGAAUGUAAGUCAUCUUCAGCUAAAAAAUCUUUUUUUUGUUUGUUUUGUUUUUAUGUUCAAGGACUGAUGAAAAAAGUCAUUUUCCAGCUCUCGCAAAGUUAUUACUCAUACAGUACCAGGAGUUCAAAUAAUGGUUUUAGUACAGAUUUAAUUCACAUUUAAUUUACAGCAAAAACAGAUGUAAGUGGUGAAACUGACGUGUGCACAGCUUAAAUUGUCAAGGGAGUUUAGUGUACAUUGCGACUGAUUAAGCCUUCGAAUAUAGCAUAUAGAUCCUUGUUAUCUGGGCCAAAAAUCUCAUCAGCCUUCUGCAGAGUCUCCUGAAAUUUUGCAAGUUUACAGAUAACAUGUAAAUAGCAAACCAAAUCAUCGACACCGAGGGAGAGAGGGAGGGAGGAGGGAAGGGAACACAUACCUCCUUUGUUUGCUUGUGGCCAUUUAGCUCCUUAACAUUAGCAAGAAAUGCACCAAACUGCUCGUAAGACAAACGACUCCUGAGGGUAACAAAGAGAAAAAGAAAAGAAAAAAAUCGGACAGUGGGAAUUUUAGUCCUUAAGAUUUGCUAGAACUCACCAAAUUUCUCAUAAGACAAAUGAUUUCUGAUGCCAACAAGAGGGAAAACAAAAUAACCAGACAACAAACUUUCUUAUUCAACUAGCCGGGAAAUUAAUUUUUAACUUGGAUGCAGGCAAUAAUCGGAUUUUCUAUAUAUGGUUCUUUCCAUCAGACCCAGAUUCCAAACUCAAUAAGUGUCUUUACCUGACUUGGCGGAAAAAUUCUUUCCCAUCCACCCGAGUUCUUCCUAAAACAAUUCAAGAGAGAAUUAAGAACAUUAGAAGAAUACACAUCGAACAACAGAAGAGCAGUUCUCAAUAACGGCGGUUUCUACUUUCUAAGUGAAAUGUGACUAAACAUUUUCUACAAAGGGUUUCUCGAGCUAACCAUAUUCAGUGCUGUGAUGGCUUGAAGGCAUAGAAGAUCUGUCAUCAAACAUGCCUCUUGAGGUGGCGAAUGACAUGGAGUGCCGCUUAGGGGACACAGGUUUUGAUGUUCUUGUUGGGGAUGUGGAUGCAGAAUAGACUGGAGGAGAACCAGGAGGAGUGAACCGAGGUGUGCUAGUUUGGGAUGCUAACAGGAGGCCCGGUGAUAUGCGAGGUCUUUCAGCUGCCAUUGCAAUGAUAAGAAGCAACAAAUACAACAAUGUUAAAAAUUGGCAUGCCAAGUUGGAGGUUUAAUAAUGCAUUCUCUAGCUUAACAAUUCACACUUAUGACUAUAGAAGCUUCCUCACUAUAUGGCAUACAUGGAAGCAUUUUCUAUGACUAAGAUUUGUAUUCGAAUCAUACCUUCUGUGUCACGAUCCUCCGAAAAUAUGCUUCCUGUUUCAGAGUAAUGGCUACGGAUUGAAGAUGCCCUCGAAGGUGGCAAUGUGGCAAAUGUGGCAUCACCUUCUGAAACUACUAUCACGUUAUGAUUUUAUUUUGCAUUGGCUUUUAAGUGAGAAACCAAAACAUAGAGCAUAAGCAGUUGGCCGAAAAGAAAAAUCAAAACCAUAUGCUAAAGGCUAAGAUAGUAAGAUGAGGUCACAUUCAACAAGUAACAAACAAAAAAAUUCUACUGCGCACGCUACUUAUAAUGAGAAAUGUUCAGCCUAUUAGCCGUCUUGAUUUAUAGUCUAACAAUAUAACAUGUCACGACGCGGUAGUACAAAAAUUAAUUAAUCUACUUAUGAAAAUUGAAAAUUAUAAAAUAAAAUUUUCUUAGCAAACCUCCAACUUGAGCUUGUGGUUUAGAAGAUAAGUUCUCUUGGGUUUGUGUCUUAGGCUUUGCAACAGCCUCCGAAGCUCCGGUCUGUUCCAAUGUGGGCCACAAAUUCAAUCCAAGUUAUCAAAUUAAUUAACAACAAAAGUGUAAUCCAAGUCUCAGAGAAUCAGCCUCGCAAAACAAAAUUACUCACAGAAUUUUCGUCCUCUUCUUCAAGUGAUCGCAUAAGCGUCUUUCUGAACACCUCCAACUGCGCACAUUAGCAACCAAACUAAGCUUAGCCAAAACGACACCGUUUCAGCUUCCCCAACGUGAAUUUCAUAUUUCAGUUACCUUUGAGACAUCUCUGUUCAGCUUCCUCACAGUGUUGGAGAGCAACGCCUUCUCUUUCACCAAGCCCUCCUGCAAUUCCAGAACCAAGUCAAUCAGUCAACGAAUUGAUUAAAAUUGAACCGGGUUGACAUUCAUGGGCCGGGUCGGACCUUCUCCCGCUCGGCGAGGGCGAGUUUAUCGGCGGUCUCGGAGAGCGAGGCGUCGAGGGACUCAACCUGCGCCUGGAGCUCGGCGAUGAGCUGGUCCUUCUCAGCGAGCUUGGCGCGCAGAGCGUACGACUCUGAUUCCAGGGCAGAGACACGUGUCGAGAGCGCAACGGACGUGAUUUUGCGGGCCACAUCGAGUUGCUCGAAAGGAUCCGACGGCAGUACUUGCAACACUUCCUCGGGAAGAUCGAAGUUCGAACCACCCGAUUCCUUCGCAAGCAUUUCUCACCUUUCUCUCUCUUGGUUUUCCUGUUUUUUUUUUUUUUUUCCCCUUUUUUUGUAUUUAAUUUUUUUCAACUUUUUUGUUUUUUAUUCAGAGAGGUUGUUAUACUCUACGGCAUAUAACCAAAAUACAAUUUUUUUUUUCUUUUUUUUCGUUGGUAUAUUUUCUGAUUGGAAGGAAACAUGUGGCUUGUGAUUGGAUAGGAUUUUGAGAAAAAAAGACAAACAACAGCAAAAUCUGGACAUGACCUAGUGGUUUUGGGCCUAAUGGUACGAACCCAUUUUUGAAACAAGUAAUGGGCUUUGUGAGGCAAAGUAAGCUUUGUCAUUUUAUGUGGUGGUGGUGGUGGUGAUGGAAGGUAAAGGGACAGUGACGGACCUAUUAAGGAGUAAGAAGGUGUAGUUACACUUCUUUUCACAAGAAAAAUUAUUAUAGGUGCUUCAAAUUGCCCAUUUGCUCAACUAGUGUACAGAUUACCUUAUUUCUAUUUUCAAUUUUCUUUGUCCUUUUACUUUCAUUUAUUUUUAUAUACUCAAUUUACUUAAGUUUAAAAUAUAAAUAAAGAAGUACUCCCCAUUUGGAUUCAAAUAAAAAUACUAGAAAAUCAAAUUCCUACUAAAUCAAAAUUUGAAAAAUCGGUUUUAGUGCAAAAUACGAUUUAGGCUAAAAAUGAUGGCUCAUUAAGUCAAUAUAUAUUUCAUACUAAAAUUCCAUAAAAUCAAGUUUUCUUAUUUGAUGUAUAAGGAAUAAAAGUUGCCAAAAAUUAUCUUGAGAAAAUGAUUAUUCCGAAAAACUAUUUUUCAUACUUAGUCGAUAAUGUUACAUAACACAAUUUUUCAUUAUGAUAUGAAUGCAUAAAGGGACAUAAGGUCAAUCUAGGUAAAAAAAACUUUAGAUGUUCAAUCUAUAAAGAGUUUUUAGCCUUUCCAAAUUGCACAUUCACUAAAAAAUUCCUAGGUCCGUCAGAAAACAGGUGGAUGUAACUUGUGAUUGAUUACAGGCCAACUAAAUUCAGAUGACUCUGGUCGUCUGGUACUAUAAAAAUUAGAUAAUGAAGAUAGUGAAAUUUGGCCAUACUUUUUCGGCUUCAUCAUAUUUGGUCCAUUGCCUUGUAUAAAGGGGUUGGUGACAUUUAGAGGUCGGUGCCAAAAACUAUAUGUGAAAUUCAACAAUAUGCCCUAAUAGAUACAACACACGUAACAAGAAUAUCCAUGGAAGUGUCGAAAUAGAUACAACACGCAUUUUAACUAUAUAAGGAAAAUUUUAGAUGAUUGAGACCAGGUAAGAUCGAGACUAAGUACAAUUCCACCCUUAAGAAAAGGGUUUGUUAUAUCUGUUGUAAUAGUGGAGUCCCCAAAAUGCCUAUAAAUACUCCCCCCCUUCAUACUUGUAAAUAUACAUUCAGAACCUAAAUGAGAAAAUCAGUCUCUCCUCUCUAUUCCAAUUCUCUCCAUUUUCUCUCUACAUUUAUAACACGUUAUCAGCACGAGAAGCUCUCAGGUAUAAUUUUUGUGUUGCACUAUUAUCUAUACUACUAACCCUUAUGUUGAUGUAAGGAAGAAAAGUAGUGGAGGAGCUGUGGUCUGCAAGAGAGAUAUACGAGCAAACCAACUGUGUGCAGAUUACAGGUGGAAAGCAUUUGAUUUAAGAGACAAGCAUGAUGCCUUCCACAAACGAUAAUAAUAUUAUCUGCUAUACUAUUUGAUCGUGGUGUUGAUGAGAACCCACCAAUAAUUGCUUUUACUUUACCGUAAAUUUACUUUUACUUAAAGUAAUAUAAUAUAUUAUAUUUACUGUAUGGUGUAGGUUUAUUACCCAUACAACAGUAUUUAUUUAAAAGGGUGAUGCGGGUUUAUCGUCCACGCCUUUACUUUUAUUUAAAUGUAUGGAGCAGAAUUAGUGCCCAUACAAGCACAUUUACUUUCCCGCACAUUUAAUUCUAUUUAAGGUAUGAUGCGGGAUUAACGUCCAUACAGCAAGCAAUUUAAUUUAUGAAUUUACUUUACCGCACAUUUAAUUUUAUUUAAGGUAUGGUGCGGAAUUAACGUCCAUACAGCAAGCAAUAAUUUAUGAAUUUACUUUACCGCACAUUUACAUUUAUUUAAAGUAUAGUGCGGGUUUAUCGUCCAUACUAGUAAUUUAUUUACCAGUAAUUUAUUUUAUGGAUUAAUUGUGCUGUAUGAUGAGUUUUUACAGUAUGCAGAUCAGGACCAGAAGUUCCUUGAUCCUCAUCACACAAUUACAUCAGGACUUGAAGAUCCUUGAUGAUGAUGUUAAUAUGAGAGCUGGCAGUCUCUCCGGUACUAUAUUUGUAAAUAUGUGAUUGGACUUGAGGGUCCUUGAUCCUUGACAUGUAAAUAAGGACCUGGGGUUCCUUAAUGAUGUAACAGUACCAUAUUGGUUCAUAAUGCCGUACACAUGGAUGAUAACUGUACUGGCAAAUGUACUGUACACAUGAAUAGUGCCGUAUACAUAAAUAGUGAUGUAUGCAUAAAUAUUUACCAUUUUGGGUAAACUAUCACUAUUCAAAAGGGAACCUGCAGUUCCUUAAACUCAUGGAUGAGCAAUUAAAUGAGAUGCCAGAAGUUCUUCAAAAUAUGGACAAUUAUGUAAGGGCUUGAAGUCCAGAAAUAUGUACAGAAAAUUGUAAAAAUGUCCAUACCAUGAGAAUAUGUGAUUUUGGCCCGAAGUUCAAAAUCUAAGGGGAUUGAAUGUCCAUACCAUGAGAAUAUGUGAUUUUGGCCUGAAGUUCAAAAUCUAACAGUGUUGAGAACCUGAAGUUCCAACAAAUUAAAUGGACAACUCUUGAGGUAUUAUUGCAAAUUGUGGUACGCCACAUAUUUCUUUGGCAUAAGAAAAUGAUGAAUUUAAUAAAGUUCGAUUCUGUUAUAAUCGACACCUCAAGUAAGAAAUAUAUUUUGUGAAUUCCGGUUGUUAAGAAUACACCGUGAAAUGGAUAAUAUCAAUAUAAACCUCAAAUAAUGAAUUGAGGCUCCCCACACAUUUUGAUAUAUCUGGGCCGGAAGCACAUGGAUUCAAAUAUAUGAGAAAUCCCGAAUUUGAGAUUGUGGGUAUAUAGUAGUUAAUGCUCUUCACUACUAUAUUACGAUAUUAUCGUAGCUUUUACUCAAUUCAUAUUUCAUGUCCAUUUAAAAGGGGCAAAUAAAUUCUGAGUUUGUGUUUAGCCCAGGCCAAAAGUUCCGGGCUCCCAUACGUUGAAAUAUGAAAUUUGGGAGAGUCGAUGUGGUUAUUUGAACCUAUAAGGCACAAGGUUCCAAACCGUCAUUUUGAAAAGAUGUAAAAACCACAGGUGCAAAUUUUAAGAAUGUGCGCAAUUAUUAUAACAGAAAAG
Molecule: long non-coding RNA, 10852 nt
Filed under: Prunus persica (peach)
Lineage: Eukaryota; Viridiplantae; Streptophyta; Magnoliopsida; Rosales; Rosaceae
Description: long non-coding RNA (PPER_LNC000391)
Source: RNAcentral